RNAcentral lists this ribosomal RNA (474 nucleotides) under Haloferax sp. HA3. RNAcentral describes it as "bacterial SSU rRNA". It matches the Rfam family "Archaeal small subunit ribosomal RNA", at positions 880 to 1339 of the family's 1478-position model. Lineage: Archaea; Methanobacteriati; Methanobacteriota; Halobacteria; Halobacteriales; Haloferacaceae. The record is from RNAcentral.
CUCAACCGGAGGAGCCUGCGGUUUAUUGGACUCACCGCCGGACAUCUCACCAGCUCCGACUAUAGUCAAUGACGGUCAGGUUGAUGACCUUGCCACGACGCUAUAGAGAGGAGGUGCAUGGCCGCCGUCAGCUCGUACCGUGAGGCGUCCUGUUAAGUCAGGCAACGAGCGAGACCCGCACUUCUAAUUGCCAGCAACAGUUUCGACUGGUUGGGUACAUUAGAAGGACUGCCGCUGCUAAAGCGGAGGAAGGAACGGGCAACGGUAGGUCAGUAUGCCCCGAAUGAGCUGGGCUACACGCGGGCUACAAUGGCCGAGACAAUGGGUUGCUAUCUCGAAAGAGAACGCUAAUCUCCUAAACUCGGUCGUAGUUCGGAUUGAGGGCUGAAACCCGCCCUCAUGAAACUGGAUUCCGUAGUAAUCGCAUUUCACAAGAGUGCCGUGAAUACGUCCCUGCUCCUUGGCCACCCAUAA